UCUUCUACAUGUGGAAGAGCUUUUUUAAUAGAGAUCAACGACCGUAGAAAUUAACUUGCACGCUCGUGCUGUGUGAGUUCAUCGUCCCAGGUAGCUGCCGUCCCGAAUUAGGGACUUGUCUACUGCAAUGUAAUAGUGCGGUGUUAUUUUUUAUUAGUACAUGUUAUAGGUAUGGGAGUGGGUAAGGGUAUGAGUUAAUAUGGACCAGUUUAAAUAUUCCCGGUGGGUUUUUCUCCUCUAAACGAGAAGAGUAGAGCUCACAGUGGUACGCACAUCUGCGCAGAGCGGAUGCAGGCUGCAUUUUACGGUCGUCCAAUGCAGCAGAGCACAAAUUCAACAUUCGUACCACCCGCACCCUCUCUACUCAGAUAUUACCUACUCCUCAACUUCCUUCACUUCCACCUUCUGACACAACGACUUCUAUAAUUAGAAGUUCCUUACCACGUCGAUGUAUGACCAAUAUUUUAACAGGAAUCGCUCUAAAAGGUUUACAAGGCAAUGUUUAUAUUUAGUCAUUUUUAUUAUUAUUUUCAGAAAUAAAAUAAUAAAUAUUUACAUAUUGCAGUGUCCAUCAAUUACAAGGCAAGCUAUCAGAUGUUCUGAUCUCGAUGCCAACAUUGAGAAUUGACUAAUUAAUAGGCGAUCAGUAUGCGGGUUAACGAUUGAGGACGGUUAAACUAGAAGUGUAUUUUUAUAUGCAGGGUAAAUUAAUUAAAAAUUAAAAGAUGGGAUUAAAGAAGAAGAUAAAGUACCAGACACACUUGUUCAUAAGCAUCUUUAAAAAUAAUCGAUAAAGUCUCUUGCGAUUGCUGUUCAUUCAAUCAUCUCUCGUCGCAUAUGCCUAAAAAUUUUAACGCAUGUGAUUCUACAUCCGUUAUUUGAUGGAAGGAAUAAUAAUAAUAAUAAUAGUAAAAAUGAGGAACCACUUCCUUUUUUUUUCUCAAUAAUUAAGCAAUGAAGGAAUUAUAUUUACUGAUGAUUAUAAUAAUCGGGAAGGCAUCAGUUACCUACAACUUUUUUGCCAUUGUAUCAAAUGCCUAUAAUAUUUUUUCGCACAUAAUAAAUGUAUACUGCUCAGUUUCUUACUGCUCAGU
This is a long non-coding RNA of Microplitis mediator, 1094 nucleotides long. RefSeq lists it as uncharacterized. Lineage: Eukaryota; Metazoa; Arthropoda; Insecta; Hymenoptera; Braconidae. The transcript is spliced from 5 exons. The record is from RefSeq and is a predicted model, not a curated record.